Long non-coding RNA from Tupaia belangeri chinensis (Chinese tree shrew), 641 nucleotides. RefSeq lists it as uncharacterized. The transcript has 3 exons. NCBI's taxonomy places the organism in Eukaryota, Metazoa, Chordata, Mammalia, Scandentia, Tupaiidae. The record is from RefSeq and is a predicted model, not a curated record.
GGGACCUGGAGGCCAGAAGCCACACCUUAGUCCCCACGGUGGAGAGUCACGUCUCUCAAUUCCCCAGGCCUCAGCCCAUUCAUGUGUCUAGUACCACAUGGCAUGGGUGAAGAGCGUUCUUGACCACUUGAGGACGAAAUCUGCAAGAAUGCCAACGAUUCAUUCAGAGAGAGGAACUUUCAACAGGGUUUCUACACCACAAGCCACGCCCAACCAGCCCGGAUCAUGGGCACACACGUGUGUACCCGGUGUGCUCGGAGGAUGCAGGUGACACUAUUCCUGCCCCCCGUUGACAGACGAGGGAAAUCAGGCACAGACAGAGGCCGACUAGUUGCCCAGGACCAGCGUGUGGCGAUGCUGGAACUCCAACACGAAACAGACAAAGGCAAACAGCCCGCCCCGGUGUGACGAGACGGUGGCCGUGACGCGAAUGUAAACCAGACUGUCUCUCGCAGGCUGACUCCCACGCGCCCACCCCUGGCGUGGUUUGUAUUUUCACUCUCUGCCGCUCGGGUUUCACACACUCCAUCUUUUGGGUGGGAGUUCUGAACGAUUCCAAGUCCGGCCUGCUGAGCCUGGCACUUCCUCUGCGUUUGCCUAGCUAAGAGCGUCCGUCCACCUCCGUCUACCACAUCGGAAGA